Molecule: ribosomal RNA, 492 nt
Filed under: uncultured bacterium
Lineage: Bacteria
Description: partial 16S ribosomal RNA
Rfam family: Bacterial small subunit ribosomal RNA
Source: RNAcentral
AGUGAACGCUGGCGGUAGGCCUAACACAUGCAAGUCGAACGGCAGCACAGUAAGAGCUUGCUCUUACGGGUGGCGAGUGGCGGACGGGUGAGGAAUACGUCGGAAUCUACUUUUUCGUGGGGGAUAACGUAGGGAAACUUACGCUAAUACCGCAUACGACCUACGGGUGAAAGCAGGGGAUCUUCGGACCUUGCGCGAUUGAAUGAGCCGAUGUCGGAUUAGCUAGUUGGCGGGGUAAAGGCCCACCAAGGCGACGAUCCGUAGCUGGUCUGAGAGGAUGAUCAGCCACACUGGAACUGAGAAACGGUCCAGACUCCUACGGGAGGCAGCAGUGGGGAAUAUUGGACAAUGGGCGCAAGCCUGAUCCAGCCAUACCGCGUGGGUGAAGAAGGCCUUCGGGUUGUAAAGCCCUUUUGUUGGGAAAGAAAAGCAGCAGGUUAAUACCCCGCUGUUCUGACGGUACCCAAAGAAUAAGCACCGGCUAACUUCGUG